Molecule: ribosomal RNA, 231 nt
Filed under: Cuon alpinus (dhole)
Lineage: Eukaryota; Metazoa; Chordata; Mammalia; Carnivora; Canidae
Description: partial large subunit ribosomal RNA
Rfam family: Bacterial large subunit ribosomal RNA
Source: RNAcentral
UUACCAAAAACAUCACCUCCAGCAUUUCUAGUAUUGGAGGCACUGCCUGCCCAGUGACGCUCGUUUAACGGCCGCGGUAUCCUGACCGUGCAAAGGUAGCAUAAUCAUUUGUUCCCUAAAUAGGGACUUGUAUGAAUGGCUACACGAGGGUUUAACUGUCUCUUACUCCCAAUCAGUGAAAUUGACCUUCCCGUGAAGAGGCGGGAAUAUUAUAAUAAGACGAGAAGACCC